Molecule: ribosomal RNA, 468 nt
Filed under: uncultured bacterium
Lineage: Bacteria
Description: partial 16S ribosomal RNA
Rfam family: Bacterial small subunit ribosomal RNA
Source: RNAcentral
GACGAACGCUGGCGGCGUGCUUAACACAUGCCAGUCGAACGGAAAGGCCCUGCUUUUGUGGGGUGCUCGAGUGGCGAACGGGUGAGUAACACGUGAGUAACCUGCCCUUGACUUUGGGAUAACUUCAGGAAACUGGGGCUAAUACCGGAUAUGAGCUCCUGCUGCAUGGUGGGGGUUGGAAAGUUUCGGCGGUUGGGGAUGGACUCGCGGCUUAUCAGCUUGUUGGUGGGGUAGUGGCUUACCAAGGCUUUGACGGGUAGCCGGCCUGCGAGGGUGACCGGCCACAGUGGGACUGAGAUACGGCCCAGACUCCUACGGGAGGCAGCAGUGGGGAAUAUUGCACAAUGGGCGGAAGCCUGAUGCAGCAACGCCGCGUGCGGGAUGACGGCCUGCGGGUUGUAAACCGCUUUCGCCUGUGACGAAGCGUGAGUGACGGUAAUGGGUAAAGAAGCACCGGCUAACUACGUG